CAGUAGCCACGGGAAUACGGAGGGUGCAAGCGUUAUCCGGAUUUAUUGGGUUUAAAGGGUCCGUAGGCGGAUCUGUAAGUCAGUGGUGAAAUCUCACAGCUUAACUGUGAAACUGCCAUUGAUACUGCAGGUCUUGAGUAAAUUUGAAGUGGCUGGAAUAAGUAGUGUAGCGGUGAAAUGCAUAGAUAUUACUUAGAACACCAAUUGCGAAGGCAGGUCACUAAGAUUUAACUGACGCUGAUGGACGAAAGCGUGGGGAGCGAACAGGAUUAGAUACCCCAGUAGUCCCUGUCUCUUAUAC
Molecule: ribosomal RNA, 301 nt
Filed under: uncultured bacterium
Lineage: Bacteria
Description: partial 16S ribosomal RNA
Rfam family: Bacterial small subunit ribosomal RNA
Source: RNAcentral